Molecule: unclassified non-coding RNA, 378 nt
Filed under: plant metagenome
Description: partial contains 5.8S ribosomal RNA, internal transcribed spacer 2, and large subunit ribosomal RNA
Rfam family: 5.8S ribosomal RNA (bases 1-105)
Source: RNAcentral
GAAAUGCGAUAAGUAAUGUGAAUUGCAGAAUUCAGUGAAUCAUCGAAUCUUUGAACGCACCUUGCGCUCCUUGGUAUUCCUUGGAGCAUGCCUGUUUGAGUAUCAUGAAAUCUUCAAAGUAAAUCUUUUGUUAACUCAAUUGGUUUCUACUUUGGUAUUGGAGGUCUUUGCAGCUUCACACCUGCUCCUCUUUGUUCAUUAGCUGGAUCUCAGUGUUAUGCUUGGUUCCACUCGGCGUGAUAAGUUAUCUAUCGCUGAGGACACUGUAAAAGGUGGUCAAGGUAAAUGCAGAUGAACCGCUUCUAAUAGUCCAUUGACUUGGACAAUACUUUUAUGAUCUGAUCUCAAAUCAGGUAUGACUACCCGCUGAACUUAAGC